GAAGUAGUUCAGUGGUAGAGCAGAAGAUUGUGGAUCUUCCUGUCGAGGGUUCGAACCCCUUCUUC
This 65-nucleotide transfer RNA is filed under the name human gut metagenome. It matches the Rfam family "tRNA". Rfam says of the family: Transfer RNA (tRNA) molecules are approximately 80 nucleotides in length. Their secondary structure includes four short double-helical elements and three loops (D, anti-codon, and T loops). The record is from RNAcentral.